GACGAACGCUGGCGGCGUGCUUAACACAUGCCAGUCGAACGGAAAGGCCCUGCUUUUGUGGGGUGCUCGAGUGGCGAACGGGUGAGUAACACGUGAGUAACCUGCCCUUGACUUUGGGAUAACUUCAGGAAACUGGGGCUAAUACCGGAUAGGAGCUCCUGCUGCAUGGUGGGGGUUGGAAAGUUUCGGAGGUUGGGGAUGGACUCGCGGCUUAUCAGCUUGUUGGUGGGGUAGUGGCUUACCAAGGCUUUGACGGGUAGCCGGCCUGAGAGGGUGACCGGCCACAUUGGGACUGAGAUACGGCCCAGACUCCUACGGGAGGCAGCAGUGGGGAAUAUUGCACAAUGGGCGGAAGCCUGAUGCAGCAACGCCGCGUGCGGGAUGACGGCCUUCGGGUUGUAAACCGCUUUCGCCUGUGACGAAGCGUGAGUGACGGUAAUGGGUAAAGAAGCACCGGCUAACUACGUG
Molecule: ribosomal RNA, 468 nt
Filed under: uncultured bacterium
Lineage: Bacteria
Description: partial 16S ribosomal RNA
Rfam family: Bacterial small subunit ribosomal RNA
Source: RNAcentral